UCGAAUUGUGAUAAAUAUUUGCAGACCUGAUAAUGAAAAGAAAAGCAAAACAAAGUUAGAAAUUACUAGUAAUUAGAAGCGUUCAAACAGAAUAUAAAUAUAUACUUUUGUUCGUACAGAGGUAGACGUAAUAUAUGAAGAUUUACGAUAGGGUCUAACAAUUAAAGUCCCAGAGACAAUCUUCUUGAAGACAAGAAGUGAAAGGUCUAUUAAGAUCAAGAUUACCCAGACAAGAAGCAUCAGCCGAAACAUAAUCUCCCAGCACCUCGUCAGAUGAAACAAGAGACAUUACGUUUCCACAACCCAAACCAUCAAAGUCCAUCAGAUCAGAGAAGAGAUACUCAGACUGAAUUUUAUCAAAAUCGAUUUUAAGAUCUCCCAACAAUGAAGGAGAACUAGCUUGUUGAUCAAUCACGUUUUCCUUCACAGUAAGAAGACUGGUACUACCAAUACUACUCUGCUUCUGAAAUGUCAGAGCCUUUGGGCACCUAAUCGCCUUUGGACGUAUAACAGAUACUUUAUUCAUGUUGUUGUUGUUGGAAUGUUUUCGACUUUUCUGUUGGUUGGUUUGUGAUUUUGGAAGUCUUUUGCGGAGGUUUGAGUUCCAGUGGUUCUUUAUUUCAUUGUCUGUUCGCCCUGGAAGCCUCCCAGCUAUCAACGACCAUCUGCUUUACGCCGCUAACUUUUUUUUAGAAAGGAAGAGAAUGUUAUGUAUUUUGGUGAAAGCAAACGUUAGUAACCUGUUUCCAAGGAGAUUAUGGAGGCGGAUUAUAAGUUCUUCUUCAUCAGAUGAGAUGUUUCCGCGCUUUAUGCCUGGUCUCAAGUAGUUCUUCCACCGAAGUCUGCAGCUUUUGCCACACCUCUUGAGACCUUUAUAUUUUCGGAAACAAUGAUUUUAAACAUAUUGAUAUAAUCUUACAAUCAUUAAAAAGAAAAAUAAAAGAUGCACGGAUAUGUACCAGCUUGGUUUGGGAGUGUGCUCCAUUUUCCUUCGCCGUGGAACAUGAUAUAGUCUUUAAGGAUCUUGUCUUCUUGAUCGGUCCAAGCUCCUCUGUUUAACUCCUCUUUCUUCACCCUACUACUUUCUCUCUUUCUCAUCAUCUCUCUUGUUGUUGUGUGGUUGGUAGACUUGUCUUUAGCGUUGUGUUGAGAAUAGAUUAUGUUUCUGUGUAAAACCAAGUAUCUUUAUAGGGAGUUGUUGCAAUGUCCGUUACAUCAGUCGCUUUCCAUAACCUCUGUCACACACACACUUUUUAGUUUCAAUGCUUUUCUCACUUCACACCAUGAUUUACUAGUCUAGUCUUACGUGCUAAGUCUCUAACUGUCUAGUUCCUAAACCGACCUUGAUCAUCAUCGUAUAACAAAUUAGGCAUGACUGUGAAUGAUUGGUGAAAAUAGUCAUUCCUAGUCGCAUUCUAGCUUGUAAGCAACCAUCUUCACUGAACUAAGUGGUAAGAGCAUCCGCACUGCUAAUUGUUAAAAUUAAAUACUCACAAACAAAAAUAAUAAUUGUUAUUUUAACAUAAUAUAACUAAUACUAUUUAAGUUCCAAAAAUAACUAAUACUAUUAAAACAAAAAUAAAAUUAUGAAAAUAACUUUAUAUUUUCGUUUUAUGUUACAAAAAAUGCCACUAUAGUUUAUAACAAUCCCUAAUAUAUAUAUAUAUAUAUUUCUAAAAGGAAAUAAUCAAAAAGAUAUUCGUACAAGCUUUUCUAAGAUUACACUAAUAACUUUUACUUUAUAUUUUUGUGUCAAAUAUAAAUACAUAAUUAUAUUUAAUAGUAUUAUAACUUUGUAUGAAUCUAAAUAACUAAAUAUUCUUGUAAUGAAUAUUAAAUAAUUAUUAUACAUUGCUAUUACUUUAAUUUUUAAUUAUACACAUAAAAGAAAAUUCAUAAUAUUCUAUAUAAACAAUUAUAGCAUUAUUAAAUUAUUACAUUAAAUAAUAAAUACACUUAAAUAACUUAAUCUAUUCAUUAAUUUGUAAAUUAAAAAAUUAAAUUAAAUUAACUGUACACACAAAGUAGCAAAAAAUAUAGAAUUCAUAAUAUUAAGUCAAUGAUAAUCAUUUUAAUUUAAAUUAUUUAAAAUAUUAUAAAAGUAAAUAUUAAAUCAUUGAUAAUAAUUUAAUUUAAUAUUUAAAAAUAUAUAUAUAUAUAUAUUCAAAAUUAGAUAAAUAUAUAUCAUAUCAAUAUAUAUUUACUUGAUAAAAAUAAAAUAUUAAAGGCUUUAUUUACGCUUGAUAUUUGACCAAUACACGACAUGUUAAACGAUAUAUUACUCCAUCUCAAAUUUAAUAAAACUAAAACAAAUGAAAGACACAUAAAAUGAAUUAUUCUAUUUUGAUUAUUAUAUAGCUAUAUUUGUACCAAACUACAAUCAACUAAAGAAUAUUAAAAAAGGAAAUUUUAUACGACCAUAUGUUAUUCCGUAAAAAACUAUUGCAGCUCAACUCCAUAUCAAAUUUAUAAUGAUUACUUUAUUUAAUAAAAUAUGUUUAAAUUUAUGAUAUUGCAUUAUGGUACUGAUUACUUAAUAGCAUAACUAUAAAUAAUUAAUUUUUUUUUUAAUUUGUAUAUAAAAUUACUCUUUCCAAAUCUAAAAUAUGAAUAUAUUAAAUUAAGGCUUUUGUUUUAUUUCACAGAUUUAAGUCUAAAAAACUAAACUUAUAAACAUGUAAUAAAACUAAAAAUAACAUUUCUCAUAAAUUAUUUUCAUCUAAUUUUUAAAUAUUUAAAUAAAUAUAAAUAGAAUAGAGAUUAUAAUUUUUUUUAAAAAUUCAAAACUUUGAUUUAAGAAAUAAUAAAAAUAAAUAAUGUACACAAACUUAAAUAAAAAUAUAUAAAAAUAAAACACAUAAAUUAUGUAUGCACUUAUAAUUUCUAUUAAAUAAAAUUUUGUAAAAAAAAAAAUUGUGUACUUUAAAAGCGUUAAUCAAAAUCUAGUUAUCUAAAUAUAAGCGAAAACCAUAUGUCCAAAGGAGUUUUGUUGAGUUUCUUGAAAAUUUUCAAGUGAGAAACUCUUUCGUUCUUCUACUUUUACUUUUUAUUUAUUAUUUUAUUGGAAAGAUAUUUAUUGAGUUUCUACCGGUGGAUAUGUUCUAACACUUAUGAGAGUUCAGUAAUUUCAGAAUUUUUUCAGUCCAGAUAAGCGAAAGAUAUAUUUCCAGAAGAGUUUUGUGAGUUUUGUUUAAACGGCUUGAUUGUUAGUUCAUAUUCAAAAGUUAGACCAAGUACACCAUGCUGAAUUUAUGUCCUUGGGUAAACCGUAAAUCCUUGGAUAAAUCCUAAACACUAAAUAAAAAACAUUAAAACCCUAAACCCUAAACCCUAAACCCUAAACUCUUGAGUGUUUUAGUGUUUAGUGAUUUUGAUUUAAAGUUUAGGAUUUAUCCUAGACUUUAGGGUUUACCCAAGAGUUUAGGGUGUAGGAUUUAGGGUUUAGGGAUUAAGAUUUAGAGUUUAAUGUUUUGCUGACGAUGUUAAAAAUAUUUUUUUUGUAAUUACUACUAUUUUUUAUGUAUUUCUUUUUACCUUUUAAUUUUAAAAACAUAAUAUAAUUUGACAAUAUUUUGUUUCUUUUUUAAAAAAAUAUCGAAUAUGAAAUAACACAAUCAUAUUGGUUGGUGAACCUAGAAAGAAUAAGUCUAAUAAGAAUAAAUGAACAUAACAAAACAAACAGAAAAGCAUCUGAAAUUGAACAUAUAUAUGAACAAUGUUAGGUGGGGUGAUCAAUAAAGUUGAAUAUGAUAGGCCAAGAUAUAAUGGAAUCCUUGCUUAGUUAAAAUUGCACCAAUUUAAAUGCGUAAAGAUUUGGUGUGAAGACUUUGAACUUCACUCAUUUAUAGGAAACCUAUUAAUUGACUGAUCACCAAACUCGUUUCUUGUUUUUUCGUUUCAUCACAUACGUCACUUCUUUCAUUUCAUCAAACGAGAAGUAGUCGCUUCUACGUUCUAACCAAAAAGACGAUCGGCAAUAAAAUAGUACGAGAACAAGCCAUUAUAGUGCUUUUAUGUAAAGCUUCCAGUUCACUAAAUUUGCUUGCUUUAGGCCGAACACACUUUCUAAGUCUUGAGACCAUUUGAAGCAAAUCCAUUCAAUCAGUUAUAAAGUAGGGUCACCGGGUUACGCAUGUCUCGAUCUCUAACUAUUUUGCAAACCCGAUUUUAGGGAUUGGUAGAAGGGAAAAUAUCCUCAACACCAACUUUGAUAUAUACGAUAAUUCCAAGAAUGAAAUUUUUAAAAACUCCUUACAGUUAUGACUGUGUCUGCCUAUAAAUGGAUAUGAAUGUAUAUUUUCGUUAUACAAUAUUGUAAAGUCGAUUUGUAUCUAUCUACCAAGAACAAUAACACUGGUAAAGUUUUAAUGAUAGGGAUGGUUAAGCAGUAGUUAGGGUAUAAUAAAAGCUCUAUCAUUUGCGGCAUGCAUGAUGCACAUAAAUUGAACAUGUAAUCUAUCAAAAAAUGUAUUUCGCCAUUGCGUAUUUGCGAUAUCUUAUAAUCAUAUUAUAUAUGUUUGAAAGACAAAAAAAGCACUUCCAUAAUACUCGAAUUGUGAUAAAUAUUUGCAGACCUGAUAAUGAAAAGAAAAGCAAAACAAAGUUAGAAAUUACUAGUAAUUAGAAGCGUUCAAACAGAAUAUAAAUAUAUACUUUUGUUCGUACAGAGGUAGACGUAAUAUAUGAAGAUUUACGAUAGGGUCUAACAAUUAAAGUCCCAGAGACAAUCUUCUUGAAGACAAGAAGUGAAAGGUCUAUUAAGAUCAAGAUUACCCAGACAAGAAGCAUCAGCCGAAACAUAAUCUCCCAGCACCUCGUCAGAUGAAACAAGAGACAUUACGUUUCCACAACCCAAACCAUCAAAGUCCAUCAGAUCAGAGAAGAGAUACUCAGACUGAAUUUUAUCAAAAUCGAUUUUAAGAUCUCCCAACAAUGAAGGAGAACUAGCUUGUUGAUCAAUCACGUUUUCCUUCACAGUAAGAAGACUGGUACUACCAAUACUACUCUGCUUCUGAAAUGUCAGAGCCUUUGGGCACCUAAUCGCCUUUGGACGUAUAACACAUACUUUAUUCAUGUUGUUGUUGUUGGAAUGUUUUCGACUUUUCUGUUGGUUGGUUUGUGAUUUUGGAAGUCUUUUGCGGAGGUUUGAGUUCCAGUGGUUCUUUAUUUCAUUGUCUGUUCGCCCUGGAAGCCUCCCAGCUAUCAACGACCAUCUGCUUUACGCCGCUAACUUUUUUUUAGAAAGGAAGAGAAUGUUAUGUAUUUUGGUGAAAGCAAACGUUAGUAACCUGUUUCCAAGGAGAUUAUGGAGGCGGAUUAUAAGUUCUUCUUCAUCAGAUGAGAUGUUUCCGCGCUUUAUGCCUGGUCUCAAGUAGUUCUUCCACCGAAGUCUGCAGCUUUUGCCACACCUCUUGAGACCUUUAUAUUUUCGGAAACAAUGAUUUUAAACAUAUUGAUAUAAUCUUACAAUCAUUAAAAAGAAAAAUAAAAGAUGCACGGAUAUGUACCAGCUUGGUUUGGGAGUGUGCUCCAUUUUCCUUCGCCGUGGAACAUGAUAUAGUCUUUAAGGAUCUUGUCUUCUUGAUCGGUCCAAGCUCCUCUGUUUAACUCCUCUUUCUUCACCCUACUACUUUCUCUCUUUCUCAUCAUCUCUCUUGUUGUUGUGUGGUUGGUAGACUUGUCUUUAGCGUUGUGUUGAGAAUAGAUUAUGUUUCUGUGUAAAACCAAGUAUCUUUAUAGGGAGUUGUUGCAAUGUCCGUUACAUCAGUCGCUUUCCAUAACCUCUGUCACACACACACUUUUUAGUUUCAAUGCUUUUCUCACUUCACACCAUGAUUUACUAGUCUAGUCUUACGUGCUAAGUCUCUAACUGUCUAGUUCCUAAACCGACCUUGAUCAUCAUCGUAUAACAAAUUAGGCAUGACUGUGAAUGAUUGGUGAAAAUAGUCAUUCCUAGUCGCAUUCUAGCUUGUAAGCAACCAUCUUCACUGAACUAAGUGGUAAGAGCAUCCGCACUGCUAAUUGUUAAAAUUAAAUACUCACAAACAAAAAUAAUAAUUGUUAUUUUAACAUAAUAUAACUAAUACUAUUUAAGUUCCAAAAAUAACUAAUACUAUUAAAACAAAAAUAAAAUUAUGAAAAUAACUUUAUAUUUUCGUUUUAUGUUACAAAAAAUGCCACUAUAGUUUAUAACAAUCCCUAAUAUAUAUAUAUAUAUAUUUCUAAAAGGAAAUAAUCAAAAAGAUAUUCGUACAAGCUUUUCUAAGAUUACACUAAUAACUUUUACUUUAUAUUUUUGUGUCAAAUAUAAAUACAUAAUUAUAUUUAAUAGUAUUAUAACUUUGUAUGAAUCUAAAUAACUAAAUAUUCUUGUAGUAGUUAGGGUAUAAUAAAAGCUCUAUCAUUUGCGGCAUGCAUGAUGCACAUAAAUUGAACAUGUAAUCUAUCAAAAAAUGUAUUUCGCCAUUGCGUAUUUGCGAUAUCUUAUAAUCAUAUUAUAUAUGUUUGAAAGACAAAAAAAGCACUUCCAUAAUACUCGAAUUGUGAUAAAUAUUUGCAGACCUGAUAAUGAAAAGAAAAGCAAAACAAAGUUAGAAAUUACUAGUAAUUAGAAGCGUUCAAACAGAAUAUAAAUAUAUACUUUUGUUCGUACAGAGGUAGACGUAAUAUAUGAAGAUUUACGAUAGGGUCUAACAAUUAAAGUCCCAGAGACAAUCUUCUUGAAGACAAGAAGUGAAAGGUCUAUUAAGAUCAAGAUUACCCAGACAAGAAGCAUCAGCCGAAACAUAAUCUCCCAGCACCUCGUCAGAUGAAACAAGAGACAUUACGUUUCCACAACCCAAACCAUCAAAGUCCAUCAGAU
RNAcentral lists this long non-coding RNA (6862 nucleotides) under Brassica napus (rape). Its description in RNAcentral is "long non-coding RNA (BNAP_LNC024636)". The record is from RNAcentral. Lineage: Eukaryota; Viridiplantae; Streptophyta; Magnoliopsida; Brassicales; Brassicaceae.